Molecule: non-coding RNA, 72 nt
Organism: Saxophila tyrrhenica
Lineage: Eukaryota; Fungi; Ascomycota; Dothideomycetes; Mycosphaerellales; Extremaceae
Source: the annotation of a RefSeq genome assembly
UGCGGAUUGGUGUAAUAGUGAACACAACAGGCUCAUGACCUGUAGAUAAAGGUGCAAAUCCUUUGUCCGUAC